UACGAAGGGGGGCUAGCGUUGCUCGGAAUCACUGGGCGUAAAGGGUGCGUAGGCGGGUUUUUAAGUCAGAGGUGAAAUCCUGGAGCUCAACUCCAGAACUGCCUUUGAUACUGGGAAUCUUGAGUAUGGAAGAGGUGAGUGGAACUGCGAGUGUAGAGGUGAAAUUCGUAGAUAUUCGCAAGAACACCAGUGGCGAAGGCGGCUCACUGGUCCAUAACUGACGCUGAGGCACGAAAAGCGUGGGGGAGCAAACAGG
Molecule: ribosomal RNA, 256 nt
Filed under: uncultured bacterium
Lineage: Bacteria
Description: partial 16S ribosomal RNA
Rfam family: Bacterial small subunit ribosomal RNA
Source: RNAcentral